Molecule: ribosomal RNA, 498 nt
Filed under: uncultured bacterium
Lineage: Bacteria
Description: partial 16S ribosomal RNA
Rfam family: Bacterial small subunit ribosomal RNA
Source: RNAcentral
AUUGAACGCUGGCGGAAUGCUUUACACAUGCAUGUCGAACGGUAGAGGGGGCAACCCCUCGAGAGUGGCGAACGGGUGAGUAAUAUAUCGGAACGUGCCCAGUCGUGGGGGAUAACGUAGCGAAAGUUACGCUAAUACCGCAUACGAUCUAAGGAUGAAAGCGGGGGACUCGCAAGAGCCUCGCGCGAUUGGAGCGGCCGAUAUCAGAUUAGGUAGUUGGUGGGGUAAAGGCUCACCAAGCCAACGAUCUGUAGCUGGUCUGAGAGGACGACCAGCCACACUGGAACUGAGACACGGUCCAGACUCCUACGGGAGGCAGCAGUGGGGAAUUUUGGACAAUGGACGCAGGUCUGAUCCAGCCAUUCCGCGUGCAGGAUGAAGGCCCUCGGGUUGUAAACUGCUUUUGUACGGAACGAAAAGGUUUCUAUUAAUACUAGGAGCUCAUGACGGUACCGUAAGAAUAAGCACCGGCUAACUACGUGCCAGCCGCCGCCGUAA